GUAGGCCAGAGGGUAGCUGCAGCAGCUGACCCAGCGGCUGGAGUAGGGACAGUAGUGACUCCGCUGCCCCGUGUGAUCCCCUACCCAGACUCCUUGCAGAUACUCCUGCCCCUGGCCACCACUCGCUGGCCGACCUUCAGGUUUCCCUGAACCCCCGGCUGACCACGCCUUGACCGCUUCUGUCGUAGCCCUUCUGGAAUGUGGUGGCGCUCCAUCUUAUGCUCAUGGUGGUGAGAGUUGUCGACCAGUGGAUCAAAAGAAGACAUAACUCCCUUGUUGGGAGGUAAAGGCAAGAGGAUCAGAAGUCCAAGGUCAUCCUCAGCUUCAUAGUGGACAUUAGACCUGCCUGGGCCACAUAAAAUCCUGUUAAGAAAACAAAAC
This is a non-coding RNA of Peromyscus maniculatus bairdii (prairie deer mouse), 381 nucleotides long. Lineage: Eukaryota; Metazoa; Chordata; Mammalia; Rodentia; Cricetidae. The record is from RefSeq and is a predicted model, not a curated record.